Molecule: ribosomal RNA, 730 nt
Filed under: bacterium SCSIO13330
Lineage: Bacteria
Description: bacterial SSU rRNA
Rfam family: Bacterial small subunit ribosomal RNA
Source: RNAcentral
GGUUCUAGCGGCGGACGGGUUAGUAACGCGUGGGAACGUGCCCUUCACUACGGAAUAGUCCCGGGAAACUGGGUUUAAUACCGUAUACGCCCUUCGGGGGAAAGAAUUUCGGUGAAGGAUCGGCCCGCGUUAGAUUAGAUAGUUGGUGGGGUAACGGCCUACCAAGUCUACGAUCUAUAGCUGGUUUUAGAGGAUGAUCAGCAACACUGGGACUGAGACACGGCCCAGACUCCUACGGGAGGCAGCAGUGGGGAAUCUUAGACAAUGGGCGCAAGCCUGAUCUAGCCAUGCCGCGUGAGUGAUGAAGGCCUUAGGGUCGUAAAGCUCUUUCGCCAGGGAUGAUAAUGACAGUACCUGGUAAAGAAACCCCGGCUAACUCCGUGCCAGCAGCCGCGGUAAUACGGAGGGGGUUAGCGUUGUUCGGAAUUACUGGGCGUAAAGCGCGCGUAGGCGGAUUGGAAAGUUGGGGGUGAAAUCCCAGGGCUCAACCCUGGAACUGCCUCCAAAACUAUCAGUCUAGAGUUCGAGAGAGGUGAGUGGAACUCCGAGUGUAGAGGUGAAAUUCGUAGAUAUUCGGAAGAACACCAGUGGCGAAGGCGGCUCACUGGCUCGAUACUGACGCUGAGGUGCGAAAGUGUGGGGAGCAAACAGGAUUAGAUACCCUGGUAGUCCACACCGUAAACGAUGAAUGCCAGUCGUCGGAUAGCAUGCUAUUCGGUGACACACCUAA